Long non-coding RNA from Stomoxys calcitrans (stable fly), 398 nucleotides. RefSeq lists it as uncharacterized. The transcript has 3 exons. The record is from RefSeq and is a predicted model, not a curated record. Lineage: Eukaryota; Metazoa; Arthropoda; Insecta; Diptera; Muscidae.
UUUUCAAAUCACAUAUAAAAGCUUCAUAGUUUUAUUUUAACUCAUAUUUAGAUUGUUUGUUUCAGUUGUUUUAUAAGCGUGUGUUUUAUUUUUGAAGUGUAUACAAAUUUAGUGGUCUAGGAGUUGCCCAUGUUAGAGUUACUCACUUUUAGUGAGUAUUCCAAAGACAGAGAUGUUAAAAGGGAAAAUUAACAUAUUUUGGUGUAUAUACAAUAGGACGGGUGACGAUAUUGCAAUUUCUUUGGGAUUUACUUAAGUCUUCGUCGACUUUGCCAAAAGGGUUGACAUUAACCAACCGCCCACUAAUGGCGAUUUUUUGGUACAUAUUACGGGCAAAAGGCUGAAUGGAUUUUAAUGAAUUGGGCAUCAAUCGUAAGAUAUUUUUCCAGAGAAGCGAC